GUGUUUGCUUCAGCAGCACAUACACUAAAAUUGGAAUCUUUAGAGAAGAUUAGCAUGGCCCCUGCUCAAUGAUGACAUGCAAAUUAAUGAAGCAUUCUAUAUUUUU
Molecule: small nuclear RNA, 106 nt
Filed under: Marmota monax (woodchuck)
Lineage: Eukaryota; Metazoa; Chordata; Mammalia; Rodentia; Sciuridae
Source: RNAcentral